RNAcentral lists this small nuclear RNA (100 nucleotides) under Canis lupus familiaris (dog). RNAcentral also lists the same sequence under 1 other name. The record is from RNAcentral. Lineage: Eukaryota; Metazoa; Chordata; Mammalia; Carnivora; Canidae.
GCUCGCUUAGGCAGAGCAUAUACUGAAACUGAAAUGAUACGGAGAUUAGCACGGCUCCUGCACAAAGAUGACACAAAUCCGUGAGGCAUUCCAUAUUUUU